GAUGAACGCUGGCGGCGUGCCUAAUACAUGCAAGUCGAGCGAACGGACGAGAAGCUUGCUUCUCUGAUGUUAUCGGCGGACGGGUGAGUAACACGUGGAUAACCUACCUAUAAGACUGGGAUAACUUCGGGAAACCGGAGCUAAUACCGGAUAAUAUUUUGAACCGCAUGGUUCAAAAGUGAAAGACGGUCUUGCUGUCACUUAUAGAUGGAUCCGCGCUGCAUUAGCUAGUUGGAAGGUAACGGCUUACCAAGGCAACGAUGCAUAGCCGACCUGAGAGGGUGAUCGGCCACACUGGAACUGAGACACGGUCCAGACUCCUACGGGAGGCAGCAGUAGGGAAUCUUCCGCAAUGGGCGAAAGCCUGACGGAGCAACGCCGCGUGAGUGAUGAAGGUCUUCGGAUCGUAAAACUCUGUUAUUAGGGAAGAACAUAUGUGUAAGUAACUGUGCACAUCUUGACGGUACCUAAUCAGAAAGCCACGGCUAACUACGUG
Molecule: ribosomal RNA, 496 nt
Filed under: uncultured bacterium
Lineage: Bacteria
Description: partial 16S ribosomal RNA
Rfam family: Bacterial small subunit ribosomal RNA
Source: RNAcentral